AUACUACUCCCUCCAUCCUGAAUUAGCUGUCAUAGAUUUGUCUAGAUACAAAUAUAUUUAGAUAUGUUUUAGUGUUAGAUACAUCCGUAUCUAAUUAAAUCUAACACAACUAAUUUGGGACGGAGGUAGUAAUAU
Molecule: non-coding RNA, 135 nt
Organism: Triticum urartu
Lineage: Eukaryota; Viridiplantae; Streptophyta; Magnoliopsida; Poales; Poaceae
Source: Rfam